GAAGCUGACCAGACAGUCGCCGCUUCGUCGUCGUCCUUUCGGGGAGACGGGCGGAGGGGAGGAAAGUCCGGGCUCCAUAGGGCAGGGUGCCAGGUAACGCCUGGGGGGGAAACCCACGACCAGUGCAACAGAGAGCAAACCGCCGAUGGCCCACGUAAGUGGGAUCAGGUGAGGGUGAAAGGGUGCGGUAAGAGCGCACCGCGCGGCUGGUAACAGUCCGUGGCACGGUAAACUCCACCCGGAGCAAGGCCAAAUAGGGGUUCAUAAGGUACGGCCCGUACUGAACCCGGGUAGGCUGCUUGAGCCAGUGAGCGAUUGCUGGCCUAGAUGAAUGACUGUCCACGACAGAACCCGGCUUAUCGGUCAGUUUCACUU
RNAcentral lists this RNase P RNA (375 nucleotides) under Salmonella enterica subsp. enterica serovar Agama. Its description in RNAcentral is "RNase P RNA component class A". It matches the Rfam family "Bacterial RNase P class A". Rfam says of the family: Ribonuclease P (RNase P) is a ubiquitous endoribonuclease, found in archaea, bacteria and eukarya as well as chloroplasts and mitochondria. Its best characterised activity is the generation of mature 5'-ends of tRNAs by cleaving the 5'-leader elements of precursor-tRNAs. Lineage: Bacteria; Pseudomonadati; Pseudomonadota; Gammaproteobacteria; Enterobacterales; Enterobacteriaceae. The record is from RNAcentral.